UUCUAGAGCAAUCUGAUGUGAGACACUGCCCUAGAGCUUUUUCUCCCUUUGUCCUUUCUGCAGCUGAAUGUAGUGUCUUGAGACAAUGGUGAUCACAAGGAGCGACCUUCAGAGGAUAUUUGUAGUAAAAGAAAACAGUUGGAUCUCUAGAACACACCAAAAGCAAAACAUUAAAAUGUUACUUUUGUUCAAAUAUGUUAAGAAAGUGCCCAGGGAAGUGGUGGAGUCACCAAGCCUGGAGGUGUUCAAGUGCAGUGUGGUUGUGGCACUGAGGGAUGUGGUCAGUGGGCAUGGUGGGAUGGGCUGAUACUGGACUAAGUGCUCUCAGAGGUCUCUUCCAAGUGCAGUGAUUCUAUGAUCUGCACAGGGACGGGGGAUGUAAAACAUAUGUACAUCCAGAGAUCUGAAACCUGCACUCGUUAACUCGAUCAUCUAUAGUAGGGCAUGCCGAAAUGAAACAAAUAUUGGGCUAAUGGAAAAUUCAAUAUAUAUUAAUGUAAUUUGUCUCUAGAAGUGUACAGUGUAUAUUUCAUGUCAUAUCACACCGCUUGAUAUACAGAGAAGAAAAAUACACAUUUUGAGCGUAUAAUCCAUCUAAUCUGUUCUGGAGGGGAAUUGUACAGAGAAAUAUACUUUUGUGUACAGUGUGAUCUGACAGGUCAGAUGUGGACAUCUGUAUUUUAGAUGUAUAUUGUCAAGCUAAGUAGUUUUGCUUCAGUUAAGAAGGUUUAUUUUGGUUGUGUAAGUCAUUUCUGGUUUGUAUAAAUUAUUACGGAAAGAGGGGCAAAACCACCAUAUUGACAGUGCCCCAUGAACUUUAGGAAAACUUGAUGUCAGUAAGGCAUUGUCUAAAUAUUUAGCACCCAAAUGUCUCCUGUUAUAACCCUGUAUACAGAGAUGAGCCUCUUGGUUGCUGACUAUUAAUUCUUUCAUAAUUGCCAUCAUUCUUCUUGCAGCUUAGUUAAGAAUUGUGGAUUUACACAGAGCCUCUCCUACACCUGAAUAAAUCUUGCUUGCAAGUCCCUAUUAAGAAACCACCAGUGCUGGAGUUCUUGGCAUCAAAAACUCAUCUCUGUAAGGUAAUAUUACCAGCUGGCUUUGUUUGGAAGAAUGAAGUAAGUCAGAGUGUCCUAAAUCUGGAUACGCUACACUUGUUGAGAGAGGCAAAUGACUCAUCCUCUGGAUGGAGGGCUGCUGAAGAGCUGGGCGGUGAUCUUGAUACAUGCUUGUGGGAGGAAAAGCAGAGCCCCCUUUAAAUACUGAAAGGCUGCUCUCGGAUCACCUCAGAGCCUUCAUGCUGAACAGCCUCAGCUCUCUCAGCCUGUCCUCAUAGAAGAAGUGUUCCAUCCCUUGGAUCAUUUUUGUGGCCCUCCUCUGGAUGUGCUUCAACAGUUCCAUGUCUCUUCUGUACUGAGUACUCCACAUCUGAACGCAGAACAGAUGUAUAACAAAGUACACUGUGGUUUGUUCAUGGAUUAAACAAUUCAGCAUUUUGGACGUAAUCUGGAAUUACAUUGCUGCUUUACGUGGUGUUUUGAUGCUCAGAAGAUCACGGACUACUCAUUCUCUGCAUGGCUCACAGAGGGCUCUAAAACCAGAAGUAUGUGCAACCACUGGCUGGACAUGAUGAAUUUUACAAGGAAUACGUCUGAAGAAACUCUAUCUCUGAAGUAUCUGUUGAAGAAAACAGCCUCAUGUGUCUCCUAUUAUCCAAUGGAAGAACUGGAGGAGCAGAGAUGUGAAGCUGUCCGCUCAAAGCUAUAUAGGAGGCCAGUGACAAAUCCAGGAAUCCAAGCCAAAGCUCCUAAGUUGCAUUCUAAUUCUCUAAUCAGCACAGAAUUUGCCUUCUGGCAUUGUGAUGAGAUGAUGCGCGCAGGCUCUGACUGAGAAAAUGGGGCUUCCCAGCAAGAGUACCGUGGUUGGAGGUUCAACAGUGUUGGGAGUCUGGAAAAAGAUGAACCCCCAGGCACAGCAGCAGUGGUUGUGGGAGAGGAGAAACAAACAUUCUCCUCGCAUCACUCAUGCCAGCAGUCUGAGCAGGAGGAAGGUAGAGGAACACUCCUACAGAGAACCAGGACUGGUUUGUCUCUUUAGAAGGGAGCAAUGAUAUUUUGAACAUUUUUACCAAAUCCCAGAGUGUGCAACAGCAUUUUAUGGACUGGGAAUUAUAUAACCGAAAAACUGUGAGAUCGAAAGAAUUAUAGGAAGCCAUGGAGAGCUGCAACCUAAGCAUCCUGAAAUCGGUGACCAAGCCCCAAGGAUGCCUCUUGUUACUGCAGCCACUUUCAAUGACUGCUGUUUUUUUGUGUGAUUUACCAGCCCCAGUGAGCUCCCCAAGACAGAAUAGGGAAAGAUGGGCUUCAAGUUGAGCCAGGGGAGAUUUAGGUUGGAUAUCAGGAAACAUUUCUUUACAGCAAGGGUUGUUAAGCAAUGGAAUAGGCUUCCUGGGGAGGUGGUUGAGUCACCAUCCCUGGAUGUGUUUAAAAACUGUUUGGAUGUGGUGCUCAAGGACGUGAUGUAGUGGAGAGUUGUUAGGGUUAGGGUAGGAUGGUCACGUCAUGGUUGGACUCGAUGGUUUUGAAGAUCUUUUUCAACCUGAGCAAUUCUAUGAUUCUAUGAUUCAGUGAUUUUGGUCCAGAAGAAGAUUCUGCAGUAGUGAACUGUUUGGCUUGUGGAAUGAGUUACAGAAUUCCUAUUUAAAAAACAAAGAAGAUGGUGUAAAUCUGCACCUGGGAGGUAGUGUAUGCUUUGAAAAAGGCAAUUCAAAAAAUAAUGGACUGGUAUCGAAACUCUGUGAUCAGCAGUUUAAGGUUUUAUAAGUCUUUAUGCUGAGACACGAAACAUGUAAUUAGAAUAAUAACUGUAAGCAGAGGGCGAUGCAACCAUUAUCUAGAUCAUGUGUUAAUACUGAAGAAACUUAAAAAUUUACCCUCCUCCCCCCAAAUUUUUAAGACCUAAUUUGACUGUUUGUUCUUUUUCUUUUUUUUUUUAAAAACAUUUUCAAUCGUGUUACAUUUUGCUGAGGAAUUAUCUCGUUUUCCUGUUGUCUGAAUAAGAGUCCCUGAGUCCUGGUCCCAAAUGUCAGUAUUUGCACUGUGCUGGCAGCUGUGUGUUUGUGGUCACCCCACGGCAAUGUUUGUGAGGACUGUAUACAGUGGCAGUGUCUCUUUCAGAGAACACCAGGAGGAAAAUAGCGUGUGGCCAACUCACACGUAAUUUGUUCUCCUUAGCGGAGGUCUCACAUACGCAGUACUUAAAUGGCACUUUUUGUUUCUGGGUAAGAUGAAGGUAACUGAUAGAAACCAUUCAAAAGCCUCUCUGGCUGUUGCUUAUGUUCCCUGCAAAGGACUGAAGAGAACAGCUCUUUGGAGACGUGGCUUUACAUUGAACAUACGCAGGGCUGUGUCAUUAUUAAUUCUGCAAAUGUGUUUACAAUGGUUAGGUAAAAUAUUUAGUUACUAUUUAAAUAUUUUGAUGUAUUAUAGCUCAUACCCAAAUUUUAGAUGUCUACUGCACUUAACAUUUCCAAUUUAAAUAACCGGUUUCAUUAGGGUUUUUAGUGAUACAAAUUAAUAACAAAAGGCAGUUAAUGCAGAGUACGGUUAUGAGACCAAAAUACAUGUGGUUUAAAUUUAAAGAAUUAAAUGUUAGCAUUUCCCUAUAGAGAAAGGUUAUUUGGGCAGUGGUGUACUGACAUUAUCACCACCCACGGAGAAGGGGGCCUGUUGAUCCUAUUGGUUAAGUACAAAUUCAGAAACGGAAGAAAUGUUGGUCUAGAGGGUUUGCUUGGUGUGAGUGAAUCACACAGGAAAAAUGCUGAUACCUAGGGUAGCUCAGUGACCUUCUUUGAUGGUUAGAAAGAGAAAUAAGCACACAAGGUUUCUGUCAAAGUCAGAAGGUUUAGGUUGCUCGCUGGGUAAAACCAGCCCAGCUUAUAGUGGAAAGUUAAAUGAUGAGCAUGGAAGUAUGAUAAUAAGCUGUGUUGUAAGUGAGACAGAAAUGAUUUUCUGUGGCCAGUAAGAACGAUAAUCCAACGUGUUAACCAUUGGGCUCGAGGGCUGCUAAGAAAAUAAAUGUGCAAAGUGGAUAAAAUAAAGGCUGAAAGUAUGUUUAAGUAGGUGUUUCUUCAAAGCUUUCUUCAGGAGGGUGUUUUGGACACUCUGCCCUACUGCUUUUGGCAAGACAUGUCUGUUAUAAUAAAGGUAAGCAUGCGGCUUUCGUUCUAGCAGAAAAUAGUGCUAACUGUAGCUCGGGAUUUAUGUGCUUUUGUAAUAAUUUUCGUGGACUUAGCUAGAAACAAAUCUAUUGAAGGUAGCAAUUACUAACUUGGCACUAUUUGACGUUAGUUAAAUCUAACAACGCUGGGAUGGCUUCACCUAUUAUUCCUGGAAGAAACUGCAAAAUCGGGUGGUUUUAGGGAGUUUUGUGUGGAUGUGGGACUGCGCAGAGAAGGCAGCUCUCAGCAUCAGUGCACGUAAGGAAAACUUGGCUCUGAGCCUCAGGCCGACAGCUUGGAAACGGACUGGGCUGAAACGCAGGCUCCCAAUGCUCUGCACUUUGGCUUUUGAAAAUUUCUGUGUGAGACCUAAUUUCAAUCUGAAAAAUCAAAAUACAGUGCUUUGUGAUCAGUUUUGCUUUGUUUCAACCUAAAACUCAAAGCAAAACUCUUGGUGUAUAGAACUGUACAAAGUAAAACGUAAGAAAGUGAACCCAAGAGCUCUACAGACUGAACAAGCUAGUUUCACUUAGCUCUCAAAAUAAUCCCCAUUUUGCAAGUUCACUUUUAAAUUGCACAUGUAGCAGAUGUCAAAAUUGAGCUGGUUUCACUAUGGGUAGUGCAGCUCCAAAGCACCACACCGUCAUCAAGAUCUCAGUGCUUGCUCUCAGUCUCAGCUGGUACUUUGGACAUCUGUCAAGAGAUGAAUGUUUUUCUGUCUCAGCCUGGUCACAUUUAACUUUUGUUCAUCUCUAAGGCGAUGAUCAGUAUGUUUUCAUAUCCAGCUCUGAAUUCAUUUCCUAAGCCUCUGAUAAUGCUCUAAAUGGCACCCACUCUUGAAAUGGCAGGAGCCACUCACUGCACCCCUGGAAGGUCAUCUUUGAAAUCAUGUGUGUUCAAUUCAAGGCCUGAUGUUGCAGAGAUGCUGAACAUCUGCUGUUCCUCCACGCUAGCCCACAAACUGCAGGUGCUCAUGCCACUGCAAACAUCAGACGCCUACUCCCCAGGCACUCUUAUUCAAAAUGAAGCAAUGAGCAGCCCUCUGCUUUGCUUUAGCUUUUUGUGAAAACAUAGUGCAGCUGGAUAGAAGCAAACAUACGAGCUGUGCCCAUACAGUGGCACUUCUAGCCGAGCACUGUUGAGUGUUUGGGAAUUCAGACUAGUCAGAGUUCCUCCCUUCAUGGAAUCAAAGAAUCAUAGAUUCAUUAAGGUUGGAAAAUACCUCUAGGACCAUUUAGUCCAACCACCAACUCAUCCUCAUCAUACCCACUAACUAUGUCCCUCAAUGCCACAUCUACACGAUUCUUUAACGCCUCCUGGGACAGUGCCUUCCUGGGCAGCCUGUUCCAAUGCUUUACCACUCUUUCUGGGAAGAAGUUCUUCCUAAUAUCCACCCUGAAUCUCCCCUUGUGCAACUUGAGGCCAUUCUCUCUCAUCCUAUUGCUGUUGCCUGGAAGAAGAGGCUGACCCCCACCUUGCCAUGACCUCCUUUCAGGGAGUUGUGGAGAGCAAUAAGGUCUCCCCUGAGCCUCGUCUUCUCCAGUCUAAACAAUCCCAGUUUCCUCAGCCACUCCCCAUAAGACCUGUAUUCACUGAGCAGCUGAUCCAUUUCCUUCCCUCAUUUCCAAAAAAAUACUGAGAGACUGACUUGAGCUCCCAGAAUGACCACUGAUGGAAAAGUGAGACCCUGGCAGCAGCGGGGCUGGGUGAGUCAUCAUCUGAAUGUAGAGCUCAGUUUCUGGCAGCUUUGUUAAGAAGUGGGGACUAGAGAGAGAUGUUCAAAAGAAAUAUAGUAUCUGAUCAUCAGUGAUCUUAUGUGCAUAUAUUUUGUUUAUUCAGGAAGCAGAUGUCAAAUUCUCAUGACAAACCAGGACCUGGAAAAGUGCUGAGUGCCAGGGGAAUGGCUGAACUUGAAAAUAAAAGGCUAUCUGGAAAUACACAAGCUGAGUUACAUAAGGAUUGUAUUGCAAAUGGAAUUUACAAUGUAAUGGCUCACCUCUGCACGAGAGUGAGCCUUGUCAUGUGCAAGCAUAUGUUACAGGGAAAUCCACUGGGCUGUUGAUGGAAAGCAAAUAUUAUGUGACCCUGAAUCUCACUUGAUAUUUUAAACCAUAAUAGUUUCAGAUUUGAGUCACAAUAAGUAGGAUAUAUAUAUGUUUGUAUAUAGAAGCUUUUAAGCUCUGAGCAAGGCUUCUGCCUUGGCAAUAUUUUCACCUCAAAUUGCACAUUUGGUCCUCUAUUCUCAUAAUUGUAGCUUCAAUUCAAAGUCAGAAAUCAGAUGAGAGGCUUCCGAACUUUGACAAGAAAUCCAAUUACAAUGACAAUCUGCAAUUACAAUUACAAUCUUCUCUUUUCUACUCUGGCCACUUUGAGCUCCAGUUUCAUCCACACAUGUUACACCUUGCUUCUUCACAGGGCUUCCUGCAUAGAGGUGACAUCAGGAUUGGACCAGUGCCUUAUUUGCCCCUUUGGAGCUUUCAGUAGGAACAGAUAAGUUCUUAGCAUUGCAUGGAGAACACCCUCAGCCCAGGGUCUUCUUUGGAACACUCCUCUGUCAGAGCAAGAGCUGGAGAGGAUGGCACAUGAGAGGCACACAUGGGGAAAAAUCUGUUUUCUUUUUUUAAUUCAGCACUUUGACCUGAAACACUGAGGCGAGCUGUGCAAAGAGCUGCUUGCAGAGCAGAGUGCUGCAAGGUAGGAGGAGAGGCUCUACUUAAGAGAAAAUCUGCCACAGUCUACAAAACAAUCCCACCACAAAAUAAAAUUAAAAGUAAUGAGAUUUUCCACUGUUAACUUAAUAGCAGCAAACCACAUGUUCUAAACAAUGUUUUUUUAUUUUUUAUUUUUUUUUUAUUUUUAUUUUUUUUGGUGUGAGGACUCAUUUUUAGUAACAAACCCCAGACUGUUAGCCCUGCCAUUUUUCCACUGCUGGAGGAAAACGUGGACUCUUGCUGAGUUUGUAUGGUGAAUAUCUCAGAGAUAUUUGAAUCUGCCACCGGUAAAAGGCCUUUAAAUGUGCUCACAUGGAGGAACCAGCUCAAGGUAAAGGAAAUGGAAAAAAUGGGAAAAAGAAGAGACCUCUCUUUGGAUCUUUAGCUGUGUUAUUUUUUUAGAUUAUAUUUCUUCUGAGCUCCCAAAAUCUUCAGUAACAAACAAGUUUUCUUUUAAAAAGUAUUAAGUUAUCAAAACAUUUGCCAGGUCCUAAUAUUAAAUCGUAGCAGUCAGCAAUGUUUAAGUUCAGCUAUAUCAUUUUGCUGAGUAAGUCAUGUUAAAACUUACAGUUUUCCCCUUAAAAUGAUCUUUCCAAAUGAGGUUGAUAUUGUGAGAAAAAAAGAAAAAAGAGAGGGACGCCUUCAUCAUAAGGAAUUAUGGAAUUAAUUUUCUUUAUACACUGUGUUUGCACAGGACAUUUUUGUUAACUCUUAAUAAAAAUACCAUUCAGCUGCUACUUUCAUUGUUUUUAUCCUGGGACCAAUACAACAUUGUCAUUAUUGGAUAUAAAGUGCUGUAAAAACAAAUCUAAUUUGUUAAGUUUAUUUUGAUAAGAAAUAAAUAUAAAGGUAGUGCAUAGUUUGUAUAGUGCUGCUAUCAUAGGACUCCUGGGUAUAAUUUAUAUAAAGAAAAUAAAAAAGCAUACAUAACUUUCUAGUUGAUUUCCUUUAACAGGGCUAAUUGAAAACAGUUUCUGUUAUUUAAAAGUAAUUUAUUUUAAAUAUAGUUUUUAAAACAAAGUUCUUAUUGAUAUCCAUUUUAAGUAUAAUAUUAUCUCAGUGUGGGAUACAAGUAAAAGGUCAAAUCUUGUAGGAGUAUUUUCUGUAUGACUCAGUUCUGAUCAUAGAUAAACUUAUCAGGGAAACCAAAUUAGUUAACCUUUUCAGUACUGCUUGUUUUAGCAGGCCACAACUGUUUCUUUCACAAAGGCAGCGCUUCAAAGCUCGUGCUUUUGUUCUGAAAAAUGAAAAAGAGUGCACUAAUUUCCCUUUUCUCUAUCUGAUAGCAGGCAAAGGCUAGUGAGAUUUUGAGCAUGAAAUUGGUCUUGAUGAAAUUCAGGAGAUGGCCAUAUGAAGUAAUACAUUAUUUGUUUUUAGUUGUGCUGUUAUGUAACAAAGAUGUGCAAUUUCUUAACUCCACGAUGCCUUUCAUUUACAGACACUGUUAAAGUAUAUGCUUUCUCAUGUCCAGUAGCUUAAUCCUAAUAGAAUAACUUGAAUCAUAGAAUGCCUUGGGUUGGAAGGGACUCAAAGAUCACCUAGUUCCAACCCCAAAUGUCCAGGCCUGAUUACUGGAGUGCUGAUACAUACUUUAUAAACAGAAAGGCUGCAUGGGACAUACCUGUAGGAACCAGCCUCUUCCCAUAACACUUGAUAACUUGUUCAGUUUCUGUCCAGUUAGCUGUUUUUUACAUUUCUCAGAAGUUUCUUCAGCUCUGCUUCCUUUUUCUUUCCAUUGUGGCACUGCCAAUCAGUUGCUCUGAUACGUUCAAACUCAGUACCAAAAUCUUCUCUUCUCUCAUAGAGCCAGAGUGACUGAAAGAUUUUUAUGGACUUCAGAUUUUAGACUGUGCUCAUAUCUGAAAGAAACCCCCACAGACACCAAGGAGUCCCAACCUUCCUCAUGGUGUUUGGGCUGCCUCACCUCUACCAGCAAUUUGAUGUCAUCGCUGAGGGACACUUUGACUCACUGGGGUUUUGCCUGCAGACUCAUUUCUGCCUCCUCUGCUCAUUUUGCAUUAGAGUUACUCUCACUGACUUGCAUGAAGUACUCCAGGGGAUUAAAUGUGGUGGAGCCUUUCCCCACACAGUGCCUUGAGAGCUCCGUCUCAGGUGUGACCUAGAGGAGAAGUCUGGAGACACAGAUAUUAAUGAUAUUUCUCCCAUUCAGUGAAGUAGAUGCAUUGAGAAUAUCCAAAGGUGAAGACACGUAGAAAUCUGGCUUUGAAAGUCAAAGCUUACACAGCAUGAGCUGAGCUGUACAAGUACAUGGGUUUUGUACAGCAAGAAAUCAAGCACAAACUUGUGAGACAUGUCUCCUACUGCAGUGUACUUGGGGUGGAAAUUUUGUCAGUCAUACUCAGCAAAAUAUUCAUCUUGUGUUGGCAGUGGCAAUGAACUUCUUUUUUCUUCCAUAGAAAUCUGCAAAAGAUGACCAAUUAGGUAGUUAAAACAUUUCUACUCUUCCACCAUUGGAAUGAUUUUACACAGUACUUUCUCAGCAGAAAAACAAGUGGUAUUUGGGGAACCACCUCACAAAAUGAAAUUUCAUCCAAGUGGGCAAAACAGUGCGAUUAUCUGGGCAGAGAAUGCAGUGGAUUCCAUGUACAUGGGUGGAGAAGAUUUUAUUCUCUGAAUGAGAGAUGAUUGCUCUGGAAAACCUGCUGGGUCACUUUUAAUUAUUAAAAGAGCAAAUUCAUGGUUUCCUCGUGGACCAGUCAGAGAGCAUAGUAUUUUUUUUUUGUUCUAUUUAAACUUAGACUGAUUAAUCAGACUUCCUGGCAGUGGUUGUAAGAGGAAGAUGACUGAGAAUUUAGUAGGUGAGUUAAUUCUCAUUUUUACUGUGUCUCAAGAGCCACCCACUUUCCCUUCACAUGACUCGACACCAAGAAGCCUUUACAAGUUUUGCAGAGUGAGACCAACCUGUUGACCUGCUCUCCUCAUCUUUUAUCCCAUUUUUGCUGCUUCUUCAUUUUAUUUGGCACAUUUCUCAUUUUUUAGCUCCUGUCACCAGCAAAACCCCAUCCCCAACUCCACAUUCUGGAUACGAGUGACGUGGCUUAGUGGCCCUGGUUGUGAUGGGUUGAUGGUUGGACCGGGUGGUUAUCUUUUCCAAUCAUAAUGAUUCAGUUAUUCUGUGAAUGUGCUCUUCAUGUCAAUAAGGGAUUGGUGAAACAUCAUGUCUACUGAAAUGCCAUGGGCUUGUAUAAUGGGUGAGCACAAGCUGUUGUUGAUGCCAUUGUCUGUGUUGAAACAUUAUGGCACCUUCCCCCUGCAGUGAUCUUGGUGACAUAGUAACAUAGGUUCACACCACAGCCCUACUUUCAAUUGGGGUGCUUGUAGGCAUUGUAUGUGUAUUCUCUCCUCUUCUGUUGAUUAUUUUCAAACAGAUUUUAGAAAAGAAUUGCUUUGAGUCUCCUUUUGCAUUUAGCUUGCUUGGACAAGGUGUUAGCAGCUUUCUAAAGGAGAAGGGCACAGAUGUGCAUGCACAGACACUGAAACCACCUUACAGAACUGGGCCACUUGACAAUAUCAGAGAGAACAUUUUGGUCUUCUUGCACCAGCCAUUGGUGAAGGUGUAUAGCAGGAUUUUUGCCAUAGCAGCAAUGUAUACAUGUUUUUCUUUCUGACUGACACUGAAAGCUUAUCAAAUGCCAUCAAGAUACAGAGAGAUGAUAGUUUGGAGCUGGAGAAAGGUUAUUAUUACUUCUUUUCCCCUCAGCAUAUCUUGUUUGGAGGAAGAUACUAGCUUCUGCUACAAACCUCACCACACUUACACCUUGCUUAUUCUAGCUGCAACAACAACAAACAUAUUCCCAUUUCUUUUCCAUUUCAAACCCUCUGAGCUACAUGUAGCAGGGACAUCUCUCAGCAGACCAAAUGCCCAAAGCCCCAUCUCACCUGGCCGAGAACACCUACAGGGAUGCAGCAUCCACAGCUCCUCUGGGCAACCCUGAACAGUUAUUACCAGUUUGUACUGGAAUGAUGUGCAUCAAUGAAAUCCUUACACAUGAUAAGUGAGUGAUAAUCUCUGCCCUCUGUUCUCAUCAGACUCCGCUCUGUUACAGACAGGCAGCCAGGUGUUUCUUUUACCAAAUCUAAUGCUGCAAAACUGGACCAUCUCUCAUUGACAAAGAAUUCAGACUUUUUUUUAACUGAAGUGGAAAACAAUUCCUUGAGGGCUUCUGCCUCCCUGGUUUCUGAGUUCAGAUAUCCACUUUUAGUGAUUAUGGACCUUAAGAAUUCCCACAAUUACAGUUCUGCAAAUAGGAAGUGAUAGUGAGAUAUGAUCAUUG
Lagopus muta (rock ptarmigan) is the source of this 11222-nucleotide long non-coding RNA. RefSeq lists it as uncharacterized. The record is from RefSeq and is a predicted model, not a curated record. Lineage: Eukaryota; Metazoa; Chordata; Aves; Galliformes; Phasianidae. The transcript is spliced from 9 exons.